RNAcentral lists this transfer RNA (74 nucleotides) under Patescibacteria group bacterium. Its description in RNAcentral is "tRNA-Arg". It matches the Rfam family "tRNA". From Rfam's summary of the family: Transfer RNA (tRNA) molecules are approximately 80 nucleotides in length. Their secondary structure includes four short double-helical elements and three loops (D, anti-codon, and T loops). The record is from RNAcentral.
GCACUCGUAGCUCAAUAGGAUAGAGCAGCUGCCUUCUAAGCAGCAGGUUGCAGGUUCGAAUCCUGUCGAGUGCA